RNAcentral lists this unclassified non-coding RNA (210 nucleotides) under soil metagenome. Its description in RNAcentral is "partial contains 5.8S ribosomal RNA, internal transcribed spacer 2, and large subunit ribosomal RNA". The record is from RNAcentral.
AACCUAGCACACCUGCGGUGUGUACCUGCGGAAGGAUCAUUACCGAGUUUACAACUCCCAAACCCCUGUGAACAUACCUAUACGUUGCCUCGGCGGAUCAGCCCGCGCCCCGUAAAACGGGACGGCCCGCCCGAGGACCCCUAAACUCUGUUUUUAGUGGAACUUCUGAGUAAAACAAACAAAUAAAUCAAAACUUUUAACAACGGAUCU